Nicotiana attenuata is the source of this 1602-nucleotide long non-coding RNA. RefSeq lists it as uncharacterized. NCBI's taxonomy places the organism in Eukaryota, Viridiplantae, Streptophyta, Magnoliopsida, Solanales, Solanaceae. The record is from RefSeq and is a predicted model, not a curated record. The transcript is spliced from 4 exons.
CAAAAAAAAUCAUCUUGUGCAGUUCAAUUUGGAGAUGAUGUGUUAAGUUUGGUGGUGGAACCUGAUGUUGAUCAUUCAUUAGUAAUGGCUCUUGUGACUGUUUAUGGCUUGAUACAACAAAGAUCAAUUGGAAAUAUCAGUUAUUUUUUAACAAGGACAUGCUACUUUGUUCAGUGAUUGUGGAUUCAACCUAGUUUGAUUCUAAUAUUUUCUAUUUCUUCAUGUUGUUCUUGGUUCUGCAAUUAAGGUAUUGUGUCAAGAGUUCGACUUAUUUAUACUGGAUGUAAGCUAUAUACUUAAUUCUACAGUAGCUGGUCUACGUCUAGAACCAAUGCAUUAGUAAGAAUAAGAUGAUGUCACUGUGAGAUGGAAGAAUAUGUAUGGUAUUAUCCAACUGCAUCGUCUCUGAUUUACCUUUUCAUUGUAGCUUCUUUUGGAUAUGCACAUAUAGACAUAGAGGGAAAUUCGAAAGGCUGAGCAAGAUGAUAUUUGUUGUCAUUAUUUUGUAAACCAGCUUAUGGCUGUUUUGAAUUCUAAAAUAUUUGAUUGCUCAUUGUGAUCAUCGCAAAUAUACAUUUCUAUAAGUUGUUGUGCUUCUGCUAAAAAUGAGAUUGCAUUUCUUGGUGUAUUUGUACUAUAGAAAAGACAUAUUAUAUGGUAUUGAAACAAAAAAAUCCUAUAUAGACUGGAAUGGAUAUAGAGCAUUCAUAUCAUUGACCCUCAUUAGUUUGGUAUUGAGUCAUUUUUGAGUGACUAAUUAAUUAUCUUUUCUAGAAUGUAGAAAUAGCUUGCUGCUUUGUAGUUGCUUUAAAGAAUUUACUUUAUCCAAUUUCAGAUGUCGAGUUGUCAAAUAACAGACAGAAGAGAAUUCUUUUGUCUUGCCUCCCUUUUUUCUUUAGGUUUGUUGGUGCUUUUGCCAUGCUCAAUCUGUUUUAUUCGGCCACAACUUACGACUUGCAUCUGCUUUGUUGUGCCUGAUAGGUGGUAGUGCUGCGCAGGCAGUAGCAGAUGUUACCAUUGAUGCAUGUGUCACAGAGAACAGUAUAAGCCAUCCUUCUCUUGCCAGUGACAUGCAAAGCUUGUGUGGAGUGAGUUCUUCAAUCGGGCAACUGAUUGGGUACACUAUCAGUGGAUUUUUGGUUCAUCUAAUUGCAUCUAAGGGAGUACCAUAUGGAAAGAGGUUAAGAGAUGCACGAGAAGAUUCUAGGUGGUAUCUGCUUAUGCCUUUUAUAUUACUAGAAGCUCCAUUGUCAGGAUUCGAAGGUGAACAUGGAGUUUGUGGAGGGUUCCCAUAAAACUCUAAAUGGAUGAGCUGCUUAAAUAAGAUGUCUGGUGGACCCUGGUUUUAUGGCAUGUUUUUUUGUCUCCUUAAUUCACAUUGCUUAAGAAACGGCGGAUUUGCUACAGGACUUGCAUUUGGAUUCCGAGAAUAAGUCCCUUCAAGCUCGUGACUCAUCAAAGCAGGUUUCAUCUGUUCAAUAUGCACCUGUUGAACCUAGCACCAUGGCGAAUGGAAUGAACAAGCCAUUUGAGAGACCAACAAGCCCCUUCAAUCAGGAUUUCACAGGGCCAAGCAUGUUUUACAGCCCAAACGAAUACACA